AGAGUUUGAUCCUGGCUCAGAGUGAACGUUGGCGGCGUGGAUUAGGCAUGCAAGUCGAGCGAUCGUAGCAAUACGGGAGCGGCAAACGGGGUAGGAAUACAUCGGAACGUACCUUUUGGUUGAGAAUAGCGUUGGGAAACUGACGGUAAUACUCAAUAAAGUCGAGAGACCAAAGGUUUACUGCCGGAAGAGCGGCCGAUGCGAUAUUAGGUAGUUGGUGGGGUAAUGGCCUACCAAGCCUGAGAUGUCUAGGGGGUGUGAGAGCAUGGCCCCCACCACUGGGACUGAGAUACUGCCCAGACACCUACGGGUGGCUGCAGUCGAGGAUCUUCGUCAAUGGGCGAAAGCCUGAACGAGCGACGCCGCGUGGCGGGAUGAAGGCCCUUGGGUUGUAAACCGCUAUCAGGGGGGAUGAAACCGUAAGGUUGACAGAGCCCCAGAGGAAGCACGGGCUAAGUUCGUG
This 463-nucleotide ribosomal RNA is filed under the name uncultured bacterium. Its description in RNAcentral is "bacterial SSU rRNA". It matches the Rfam family "Bacterial small subunit ribosomal RNA", at positions 8 to 507 of the family's 1533-position model. The record is from RNAcentral.